This 237-nucleotide long non-coding RNA is filed under the name Capsicum annuum. Its description in RNAcentral is "long non-coding RNA (CANN_LNC022136)". Lineage: Eukaryota; Viridiplantae; Streptophyta; Magnoliopsida; Solanales; Solanaceae. The record is from RNAcentral.
CAUCUUCUUUCGUAUUGGUGGCCUAAGGCCCACGUUCAUAAAGGAGUAUCUAGUUUUCACCAGAUAUCGAUAUUUUGCUAAUUUUUUUAGGUUUUCACAUACUUCGAACGGAUACUCCAAAUUCAUUUGAGACCCGAUAUUAAACCAUGUAUGCUACCAAGCUAUUUUUGAUAUUUUGAACUCAACAACGAUAUUGUUUUUUUGAAAAAAUGUUGUUUUCACAAAAUUAAACCCCAG